This 403-nucleotide ribosomal RNA is filed under the name uncultured bacterium. Its description in RNAcentral is "partial 16S ribosomal RNA". It matches the Rfam family "Bacterial small subunit ribosomal RNA", at positions 30 to 526 of the family's 1533-position model. The record is from RNAcentral.
AUUGAACGCUGGCGGCAGGCCUAACACAUGCAAGUCGAGCGAGCGGCGGACGGGUGAGUAAUGUAUGGGGACUGCCCUAUAGAGGGGGAUAACUUCUGGAAACGGUCGCUAACACCGUAUACUAUCGGAUCACCCAUAGGGGAUUAGCUAGUAGGUGGGGUAAAGGCUCACCUGGGCGACGAUCUCGAGCUGGUCUGAGAGGAUGAACAUCCACACGGGAAUUGAGACACGGCCCAGACUCCGACGGAGGCAGCAGUGGGGAAUAUUGCACAAGGGGCGCAAGCCUGAUGCAGCCAUGCCGCGUGUAUGAAGAAGGCCUUCGGGUUGUAAAGUACUUUCAGUGGGGAGGCGUUACCGACAGAAGAAGCACCGGCUAACUCCGUGCCAGCAGCCGCGGUAAUUC